CAAUAGCGUAUAUUUAAGUUGCUGCAGAUAAAAAGCUCGUAGUUGGAUUUCGGGUGGGAAUGGCCGGUCCGCCGUUUCGGUGUGCACUUGCUACGCCCACCUUGCUGCCGGGGACGUGCUCUUGAGUUCACGCUCGGGACACGGAGUCGGCGAGGUUACUUUGAGUAAAUUAGAGUGUUCAAAGCAGACAUCGCCGUUGAAUACAUUAGCAUGGAAUAAUAAGAUAAGACUUUGGUGGUCUAUUUUGUUGGUUUGCACGCCAAAGUAAUGAUUAAUAGGGAUAGUUGGGGGUAUUCGUAUUCUAUUGCUAGAGGCGAAAUUCUUAAAUUUAUGGAAGACGAACUACUGCGAAAGCAUUUACCAAGGAUGUUUUCAUUAA
RNAcentral lists this ribosomal RNA (379 nucleotides) under uncultured eukaryote. Its description in RNAcentral is "partial 18S ribosomal RNA". It matches the Rfam family "Eukaryotic small subunit ribosomal RNA", at positions 592 to 976 of the family's 1831-position model. The record is from RNAcentral.